AAAAAAAAAUCCGGAAAUGCUCUCUCCUCCCCCCUUUCUUCUCCCCAGAAUCCGGCCAACGGUCCGGCCAAGAGCCACCGUACCGGCCGCCGGUCGCCGGCUCCGGCGCACCGUGCACGGCGGCGGGGAGACCAAAAGUCUCCCCCUUUUCUCCGACGCAACCCUCUGAUUCCGAGCACUCCAACGACGACGAAAAACGGUGCAGGCACAAGUGGGCAGGGCAGGUGAGCGGCGGAGUAGGUGGCGGCAGGUAGCAGAAGAGCAGGGGUUUGAAUAAUUGUUUUAGGCCUGAUUUGGAUUUAGGUAAUUGGGCUUAUUGCUUUCUGAUUUGGGCUGUGGCGUAUUGGGCUAGGCUAGUUGGGUCUGGGUCUGUUUUAGGUUAGGUCUGGGUUAUUUGGGCUUGGGCAAAAUUGGGCUGUACAGUGUUUCUAAGAGCAAGGAGGUAGCUCACAGCCCAACAGUCACAAAAUCGCGCUAAGACUGCAAGGUCUUUUCCUAUUGCUACUGUUAGCAGGACCAUCGCGAUGCCCAACCUUCUCACUCAUCUGCCCCUGUUAUUACCCUUACUACUACCAUGUUAUGUUACCUCCUGCAUUAUUAGGAAGACAUAUUCAACCAGGAAAUAGUUUUCUUGGUGCACAAAAAGGCCAACGGUUUAGAGAUCAAACUUAUUUCAGGUAUUGUGACUUUGUUCUAGAACCAAAUAUCCUCUUUGUGUGCAGAAGGUUGUUGUAAACACUGAGGUUUAAGAAUUGUUUUUUUUAAACGAAAAUAAAACACAAAAAACACAUUUUCUCUAACCAAA
Gossypium raimondii (Peruvian cotton) is the source of this 805-nucleotide long non-coding RNA. RefSeq lists it as uncharacterized. The record is from RefSeq and is a predicted model, not a curated record. NCBI's taxonomy places the organism in Eukaryota, Viridiplantae, Streptophyta, Magnoliopsida, Malvales, Malvaceae. The transcript has 2 exons.